RNAcentral lists this ribosomal RNA (430 nucleotides) under Pseudomonadota bacterium. RNAcentral's name for it is "Proteobacteria bacterium partial 16S ribosomal RNA". It matches the Rfam family "Bacterial small subunit ribosomal RNA", at positions 355 to 776 of the family's 1533-position model. The record is from RNAcentral. Lineage: Bacteria; Pseudomonadati; Pseudomonadota.
UGGGGAAUAUUGGACAAUGGGGGGAACCCUGAUCCAGCCAUGCCGCGUGUGUGAAGAAGGCCUUAUGGUUGUAAAGCACUUUAAGCGAGGAGGAGGGUACUGGUAUUAAUACUACCAGGUACUGGACGUUACUCGCAGAAUAAGCACCGGCUAACUCUGUGCCAGCAGCCGCGGUAAUACAGAGGGUGCGAGCGUUAAUCGGAUUUACUGGGCGUAAAGCGCGCGUAGGUGGUUCGUUAAGUUGAAUGUGAAAGCCCCGGGCUCAACCUGGGAACUGCAUCCAAAACUGGCGAGCUAGAGUAGGGCAUAGGGUGGUGGAAUUUCCUGUGUAGCGGUGAAAUGCGUAGAUAUAGGAAGGAACACCAGUGGCGAAGGCGACCACCUGGGCUCAUACUGACACUGAGGUGCGAAAGCGUGGGGAGCAAACAGG